GCUUAUAUUUAUAUUGGAUUUUGAAAUGCAAGAAACUGUAAGUUUCAAAAUAUUCUUCUCACUUUUCGUCGAAACAACAUUUUAAUUAUUAAACGAUAGAGAGUAUGUUCGAUUAUCUGGAAAAUUAUUAACGGAAGCACGAUCAAUUGAAUUCGUAUCGAAUCAGAAAUUCGCAAAGGCAAUGAUUUCUGUUAAAGCUGUACUCAAUUGACUUUCUCUUCAGGUAAAUUAAAUCUUAAUUCUGUCGAGCUAGUGUACAAUGGAAAAUCGUAAACUAGUGGAAUUGAAUUCUCCAGUGUCUCGCCACUGUCUAAAAUAUCGCUGACAACGAAUAUAAACGUAAACGCUUGUGAAUAUUUCUCAUUUCGCGCCUUGGAAAAUCCCAUUCCGCUACCGAUGUCCGACCAUUAUUUGACCUGUUCCAUUUACGAUUUCGAACAGUAGUCGCGUUACAAUUGUUCUACAAUCAGUUUCAUUGACCGGGCCGGGCUUUUCUUAAUGACGUUGGCAAACUUCGUUGGUUGUUGGAGCGAAACACGCUUAGAACGUAUUAUGUUGUUGACUAACAGGACCAUGGCAUAAUGUUCGCACAGUGAAAUUAAACGGUUCAGAAACUUCUGUAAUCUGCCACGUAAACCUUCUCAGUAGUGGGGUUAAUGGGAGAAUGUUGAAAGAUUUACGAAAGUUGAAUUUCUUGCUCUGAAACUUUGCUUUUUCAUAAUGAUUCCUAGUUUUCUGCGGUUUUAAUCAUUUCUUCAUCAUAUUUUUCAUAUAAGAUCAAAAUUAAUUGCAUUCUAUUAAAAAAAAAAUUCGUUAUUUAAAAUAUAUUUUACGAAAAUAGUGUAACGCAUUUCGGUGGAAAAAAAAUGAUAUCGGGUGGCUGACGAACGUUUCCUGAAAACACUGCGUGCCAUCGGGCGAUUAACUCGAGGAAAAAUUGGCCUCACCGCGGGAAAAAAAGUGGGCGUCGCAGCCGAUGAACUCUGCUCGUUUCUUUUCGCCUCGGGCCUUUUAACGAUUUCGCGCCCAGACUCUUUCUCUUUCUCUCUUUCUCUCUCGAAUACGAAACUCGACGCUUCAUGACGAAGAUUCCCCAAGCUUUGGACUAAAAUUCUCCAACGGACACGCGAUAACAGCCAGUGUGUGUUACACGAUAAUCGCGAACGUUACGCCUAUGGUGGAAUUAAACGGUUUGCGGUUUCGUAUAAUCCAUUAUACAAGCCAUUGAUGAUGCAGUGUGAAUCUGGUAACGGAAUAACAAGGUAACGGAGAUCCGGGAUUUCACGUGGCAGACAGUCUGAGCUUGGAAUUCGUGGAACAAGUGGCCCGAACAAUAAUGCUCGUAUGCGUACGCAUAUUUGUUUCCGCUCCCUUUGAGACGAAAUUGCUCGAGAAGAACGCGCUUCUCAGACGUUCGUCAAUUCUCUUUUUCUAUUUCUUUCUCUCUUUUUUCAAUAAACUCGAGCAAUGAGCACAGAAAGAGAGAAAACUAGAACAAGACGUAGCUCUUUUCUUCUAAGACUUAAGAUGAUUGGUCGAGAAAAUUAUUUAUAGUUCUCGAUCAUAACGAGAGAAGGCGCAACGAGUACAGAACGAAUUGGUAAAGAAAAUAAGAAAUAUGGCGAUUCGUCGGAAUCCAUUUGAUUUCCUCGCGUGAAUGUUACAAAGAAAAAAAUAAUUUGCGUUCUUUUGUCUCGUUGGAUGAAUUAGAAAAGUGAAUUCAAAUAUAUAUAUAUGUUGAAAUGUGAAUACCGAUUGUAGCUAGUUACUAUAUAUAUAUAUAUAAUAGUGUUGUGAAAAAUUAGAAGAAACUUUUGAAUGUUUCCUACGCAAGAUACCCAACGGCUCAUUUUUUUCGUAUCGGUCGAUCAACGAAUUCGUGCCUUCUGUUUUAAUUAUCUCGAGUGAAAUUCUUUGUGCAUCGCUACAAACAAAGGAAUCAAGUCAACAUCGUUGCAUAGGAUGGAUGAUGCUGUUACACUCGUGGAGGAUUUUCGGCUAUACGAUAUUCCACUUUCACGAUUGAGGAAGAAUCGACAGCUGCUGCUUUUGCGGCCAAUAAACUAAAGAGGACUCGAGGCAAGGGCAGUUAAGUGGCCCUCUCCCUCUUCCCUUGGAAAGGGUAUGAAAAUCGAAGAACGAAGAAAGACGAAGAUCGAAGAAAGAGAGAAAGAGAGUCAUCGAAUUUUACGACGUCGUAUCGAUGCAAUAUUCCUCGUGGAUGGCUCGUGGAAAUAUCUUUGGAUGGCAGAGCCGCAUCCUUCCCAGUCUCUCACUUUAAAGCGCGGGGGCCGUUAAAUGCGAAAAUAGGGUAAACUUCUCGUCAACGCGUACCGUCUUGAUUCGAAAAUACCCCGAGGCGGGGAGGGUGGCGUUCGAUGCGAGAGGCGAGAAACGGCGGAAUCAAAUAAAUAUACAAUCAGAAAAAGGUGGAGGGCGGUUCUACUUUGAACCAACGCUCGGCGACCCCAACCCUCUUCGACUAAAUUUAUCCUCCCCCGUGUUUGCUCGCCGACUAUUUAUUUUCUACAUUUAUGGAAUAUCUGAACUGUAACUACCCUAAAUAAUUUCCAACCUCGAAGGGGUGGAGAUAGAAGCAAUGAGAGAAGAGUGGAGCGAUCUCGAAAUUGGAGAAAAAAACAAGGAGCAAGACAUCUCGAAGCGGAAAAUCGUAUGCGCACGCCUUGUAAAAAUAUCCAGGGGAUCUCGAGGAGAUUAGUUAACAAGAUUACUUACGACUGUCAGCGCUCUGUAAGCAAGUUUCUGAAUAGGGGUAUGGCGGGUUGUGGCGCGGAUGAUCUACUAUGCAGUCAGCCAGCCAUGUCAACGAUAUACAUUCAGCCCCGGCCCGUGGUGCAAGUAGGGCUGCAAUGUCUGCGAAACGGUAAUGGAACGGCAAACGACCUGGGAUUUACCCCUUGGAACAUUCUAACAAAGCUCUAGGCCACCGCAGCCACCUACCACGAAGAGAGGAAAAAAAUUGAUCGGGUGGGAUGCUUGCAUGCUAUCUUCGAUUCGAGUGGAUCGAGUUAAUCCUGUCGAGAUGAAUUUUAAAUCUUUGCUAAUCUCCAUUCGCUCGUGAUUGCCGUUUCGACGAUCAAUCGAAAAUGCGAGAGCGUAAAUGUGAUGAUAUUUAUUGACUCUCCAAGGUGCCAUACUCUCUUUACGCCCGAGCUGACAUAGAUAACGGUCUAAAAGCCUCGCGAGGUGAAGUCGACGAUAUGACGGCCACGAAAGAGCUCGUAAAAAUUGCUAACGGAAUUAAUGGCCUCGAUGGCCGUGAAGACGAGGAGCAACAACAUCAUUAAAAAAUCCAUCCAGUGACGACGGACCAACGUUUCGAACGUCAAUUACGUUUUCGCACGUCGAAAAGAGAACAUUUUUCGAAGGGUUGGCGAACUUUGUUCGCGGUGGUAAUCCGUUUUAAAUCGACAGGGAAGGGGGGGAGAGGUGAAAAGUUGCGGAGAAAAAUGUCGCAGCGUCGACGAGAUGGAAUUGAAUUCGGUCGAAUUCAGAACGCCUUGUACUAGGGAGCUUCGAGGUAUUUCGAGGUACACGUAGGAAUAGUAGGGAAUCACCUUGGGAGAUAUUUUUCGGGGGAGGAGAAACUAUAGUGGUGACGCGUGUUGUUGGAAUCUACUUAUUUAGAGUGCAAGUAUGUUCGAUAACAUAAUAAUUUUCACUCUCAAUGUCUAUUUUAGUGGAAAAUAAUUCUCGAAGAUAAAUUUUGAAAAUUUUGCUUUUAAAUGUAUUUACGUAAUAAGGAUUGUUAAUCUUGGACGGUUGCAUUCAACGUCUAUCUCUAUUGUUUGAAGAAACUCUUUCGAGAGCAACAAUUUUAAUUUUAAUUUUAAUUUUUCUCAAAUGUAUUUGUAUAAGAUUUAUAUAAGGUUAGACAAAUUUUGCAAGUCUUAAAGUUUAAGUUAAAUUGCAUUGUAUUAUGUAAAGUAGUUUUUAGUUUACUUGGUAUUUAUAUUAACAAAAGUGAUAAUUUUGAAAUAGAAGGAAUGACGUGUCAACGAUCUUUGUAAGAUCCGAUUUCCUAGUUUAAUUAUUAUAGUUAUGUUGAUCGUGGUUAGUAUUUGGAUGAAUGCCAUUUGGAAAUCUGUGUAUUGAUAUCAAAAUGUUUCUUAAACUAUAAACUUCGGCUAAUGACCGCAUUGAUUAUGACAAUCGAUAGUGGUUAAAUAACGAAUAACAAACAAAUAGCAAAUAAUAAUUUUGCCAGCAGAGGGAUCCAAUGAUUGCAAUUUGAUAAUCAAGUUAAUACUUGAUUGUGUACAGUAGCUCGAAAUCCACUUUACACCACUUUAGAGUCUCAACUAAUAAUUACAACAGUAGAUUAAAUACCAAAUAACAAACAAAUAUCAAAUAAUAAUUUUGCCACGUAGAAAUCCACUGAUUCCAAUAUAAUAACCAAAGUUAAACUACAUUGGUCACAGUUAAUACUUGGUUGAUAUAUCGUUUAAUAAUGACUCAGAACUCAUUUAUCCAACAACUACAUAAUGAACUACAAAAUAUUUACUUUUGACAUAGUUUCAAGAAAAAUAUAAAAAUAUGUAUCUACAUUGUAUGCGAUAAAUUAUAAUAUUUGAAACGUUUAUGUAGAGGAAUAUGUAACCAAAAUUUAAUUAAGUUGAUCACUUGGUUAAUAUAUAAUUGGCAAUAAUUCAGAACUAUCUUUAAUUUAACAAAUACAUUAAAUAACGAACAACAAAUAAAACACGAAUACUUAUAAGUCUUAAUCAGUUUCAAGAAACGAUAAAAACGACUCUGUAUCUAUCAUUUACUGUGUACAUUGUACACAACAGGUUGCGAUAGUCGAAUCCUGAAACGGUGUCACGUGGAAGAACAGGGGUGCGUGGACGUAACAACGGGCCGGUGGCACCCUUCGAUGAUCCUUAGAGGGAUAUAGAUAAUGAUUAAUCACGCUCGAGUGGCUUCGCUUCCCUCUUGGUGAUGCUCCCUGUGUAUCGGUCCAUCUCUUUUUCCCUUGGCCAGCGUCCACGGGAUGAAGGUUUAUGCGCAUUCGUUUCAGAUUUCAAACGCUUUGCCACUUCGAACAUCGGUAAAGCGUAGGAAUUCUAAAACAAAUACCACGCUUUUAUCUCGUUGCCCCGUUUCUUUCCUUUCUUUAACGUUCCUUCGUAGUAGUAACUGUCACUCGAUUCAUUCAUUUUCUCUCGAUCGAAAUCCAAUUCUUCCGAGAUGGAUAUUAUGGAUUAGAUUAGAUAAGAUUUUUUUUGUCCAAUGAGUUAUUUCGGAUUGAAAUGUCUGAAGAGGAGGCAAGAUUUAUAGUGGGAUUUUUAACAAUAUAGGAUUUAAGCAAAGUGAUAUCGAUUAUAUUGAAACGUAUAUUUUGAUGUAUCAUCAAGAAGUAGAUUGAAUUAAUAGCAAUGUGACACUGCUCGAAAUUUAUUAAUGAAUAAAAUGAAGUUUUAUCAUUCGUUUUAUGUUAUUCGUAAUGUUAAUGAGAAAUUUCAAGAAGCUAGAAAAAUUAAAAUUUCAAAUUGUGAAUUCGUAUAUUGGCAUCGAAUUAUAAAACAUAACCUCAAACGUCACAAAAUAAAGAUCGAUCGAUCGAUUAUUCGCUUUGCAUAGAGCAAUUUAUCCAAAAAAGCUUUUACCCAAAAAAUUUUCUCUACUUCUUUUUCAUUUCUUUUCCCGUAUUAUGAGAGGAAAAAAAAAAUGUCUUUUAAUGACUCAAAGGAAGAAAACUGGCUAAUCUUAGCUAGACUCGAUCCGAACUUUCGUAAAAGGACAUAAUCGAUAUUUCCAUUAUUGAACCGUUCGUUUGUGUAACGUUAAAUGAACCGAUGGUCCGUAAUGCCAUUUAUCGAUAAAGGUCGUUAAUAUUCUCGGAAAGUUGCACUCCUUUACGAGAACUGAAGUUUGUUUGCAUUUAUAGGAAAAGAUCGUUCGUGGUAAUGAUCGAUAUUAUUAGCCUCGUUGAUAAAGAAGUAUUAGAGUUUUUCUUCGAAUUCGAAUCUCUGAGAGUUUAAUUUACCAUUUGAUGAUAACUUCUGGUAUUAUUUAUUUAUAGUACUGAUGUUAUAAUACCGCGAUACCAAUACUCGUACUAUCAUAUACAUUUAUUUAUCAGAAUUUGGAGAUUUUGGAUAAUUAUAUAUAAAAUAAAAAUAAAAAGAACUGAUAAAUAUUUAUUAUAUUGAAUAUAUUACAAUUCUAAAAUCUUAUUUGAGAGAGAGAAAAAAUUCAAAUGUUUCUUAUUAUUCAAAAUAACAAUAAAAAGAGAAUAAAAAAGCAUUUCAAUUCACGUUCAGAUGAAAAAGCACGUGAUAUCGAAAAAUAAGAAGAAACGUUAAAACGUUUUAACCAAAGAAGGUAAAAUCGGUCUACGAAAUAUUCAAAUUGCCUUCUCGUGUGGAGCAUACGCCCUACAUUGGAAAAUACCGGUUUAAAACGAGCGAUGGAACAAAUUCGCAAAGAAAGAGCGGUGUGCACGUGGCGAUUUUUCUCGAAAUUCUUUCCAGGGCGUGGAUGGGACAAGCGGGGUAUUUAUUGGCUUCCAUCCCAUCGCUUAACUCGGUUGGCAUUUCGUCAAAAAUGUUUCGAGUAUGUAUUUCGAAAACGUUAUUCGAUUUCCUUUUAUAUUCCAUUAUUCCUUUCUCUUUUUUCUUCUUUUUUUUUAUAGCCGUAAGAAUUUAUUUUACGUCUUUCGUUUAUUCUCAGUUCGUACAGUUAUAUGUAUUAUCCAAUCCUGUUAUCCAAUUUAAGUUCUAUGCGCCCUUUAACUUUUAAAUAAAGUUAGAAGACCC
Long non-coding RNA from Apis cerana (Asiatic honeybee), 6779 nucleotides. RefSeq lists it as uncharacterized. The record is from RefSeq and is a predicted model, not a curated record. Lineage: Eukaryota; Metazoa; Arthropoda; Insecta; Hymenoptera; Apidae.